RNAcentral lists this ribosomal RNA (492 nucleotides) under uncultured bacterium. RNAcentral's name for it is "partial 16S ribosomal RNA". It matches the Rfam family "Bacterial small subunit ribosomal RNA", at positions 28 to 523 of the family's 1533-position model. The record is from RNAcentral.
GAUGAACGCUAGCGGCAGGCUUAACACAUGCAAGUCGAGGGGUAUAGUAGCAAUACUAGAGACCGGCGCACGGGUGCGUAACGCGUAUGCAAUCUACCUUUCACAGAGGGAUAGCCCAGAGAAAUUUGGAUUAAUACCUCAUAGUAUAGUAUCUUGGCAUCAAGGAACUAUUAAAGUCACAACGGUGAAAGAUGAGCAUGCGUCCCAUUAGUUAGUUGGUAAGGUAACGGCUUACCAAGACUACGAUGGGUAGGGGUCCUGAGAGGGAGAUCCCCCACACUGGUACUGAGACACGGACCAGACUCCUACGGGAGGCAGCAGUGAGGAAUAUUGGACAAUGGGCGCAAGCCUGAUCCAGCCAUGCCGCGUGCAGGAUGACGGUCCUAUGGAUUGUAAACUGCUUUUGUACAGGAAGAAACACCCCGACGUGUCGGGACUUGACGGUACUGUAAGAAUAAGGAUCGGCUAACUCCGUGCCAGCCGCCGCGGUAA